CUCAUCACCUAAGCUCAAAGAGAGUAGGAGAGAAAGAAGACCCAGGAUGAGCUCAAAGAAGGUGUCUCUUGCUCUUCUAAUGGCGUUGUGCAUGCUCAGCCUAUCUGCUGCAGUCCUCGUGCACGCAGAUGGUGCAGCAGGGGCUGUUGCCGGCGCACCUCCCCCAGUGCUGAGUGGCUCAGAGUACAUGAAAUGUUGGGAUCCCCUGUCGAUUUCCAACAUGAUUUUCACUUUUAUUUUUUCGAGAAAGACAGUCCUUUACCCAGCAAACCAUUCCUUUGAAAAGCUGAAUCCCUCUUGCUUCUACUCUAUGUUCAUCGACACAGGAUUUGACUUGGAGCUUUCGAAAAAGCUUAAGGCCUACUUUGAUGGCGUUGUUUCUCAGCCCUCUGCCCAUUAAGUGGGCUCUUAAUCAUGGUUACUACUUUUCUAAGGGAGUUUAUGGCUUUGUGUUUUUGCUCUAUGUUUUUGUUUCCCUUGGAGAUGUUAAGGAUGUG
Molecule: long non-coding RNA, 497 nt
Filed under: Amborella trichopoda
Lineage: Eukaryota; Viridiplantae; Streptophyta; Magnoliopsida; Amborellales; Amborellaceae
Description: long non-coding RNA (ATRI_LNC000582)
Source: RNAcentral